UACGAAGGGGGCUAGCGUUGCUCGGAAUCACUGGGCGUAAAGCGCACGUAGGCGGAUUCCUAAGUCGGGGGUGAAAUCCUGGAGCUCAACUCCAGAACUGCCUUCGAUACUGGGAAUCUUGAGUCCGGAAGAGGUGAGUGGAACUGCGAGUGUAGAGGUGAAAUUCGUAGAUAUUCGCAAGAACACCGGUGGCGAAGGCGGCUCACUGGCCCGUAACUGACGCUGAGGCACGAAAGCGUGGGGAGCAAACAGG
RNAcentral lists this ribosomal RNA (253 nucleotides) under uncultured bacterium. Its description in RNAcentral is "partial 16S ribosomal RNA". It matches the Rfam family "Bacterial small subunit ribosomal RNA", at positions 524 to 776 of the family's 1533-position model. The record is from RNAcentral.